Molecule: long non-coding RNA, 322 nt
Organism: Sinocyclocheilus grahami
Lineage: Eukaryota; Metazoa; Chordata; Actinopteri; Cypriniformes; Cyprinidae
Exons: 3
Source: RefSeq, a predicted model, not a curated record
AUGGAUUCACUGCAACUAACUCAAGUCUCCCCAUCAGCAUCAAUAACACAUGUACAGAUAUAGAUGAAUGUCUGUUCAGCCCAUCUGUAUGUGGUCCAGAUUCCAACUGCACAAAUGAAAUUGGAAGUUAUAAUUGCUCAUGUCUGGAUGGAUUCACUGCAACAAACUCAAGUCUCCUCAUCAGCAUCAAUAACACAUGUAGAGAUGUGAAUGAAUGUGUUGAGAUAUCAGACAUCUGUGGUCCAAACUCAAUCUGCAACAACACUGUUGGGAGUCACAAUUGCUCGUGCAUGAGUGGAUAUAAUGUAACAGACACAAACCU